AUGCGGCGGUAACGCGGCGUACUCGGUGUUCCGACAUCCCCUGUGGAGGUUACAGAGGAGACUUGACCGUGACAAUUCAAGCAUCUGGUGGACUUCCUUUAAGCUCCAAGGUCACGGCAACAUUUUGGAGCCAUACGUCUACGGCGGCGACAAAAUGGCUUCGACAGUCAUCUGGGUUGAAGGACAGCUGGAGCCUAUCCCAGCUAGCUUCGGGCAAAAGUCGGACUACAUCCUGAACUGGUCACCAGUCAGUCGCAGGGCAGAUAUCGGCAUCAUCACUGAGCGGGAAUCGAUCCCACGCUGCCCCUACCAAUAGCAGGAUGUUGGAGGAAACCGGAGUACCCACCGAAAACCCACACCGGCACUGGGAGAACAUGUUAACUCCACACAGGAAGGCCUGUAGAGAUGAUCCUGGACUUCAGCUGCACCUCACGCUGUCUAACUGCCCUCCAUCGGGACCUUCUAGUUCCGAUGUCAUCAUUUAGGGUGAUGUAGUUGGCACUCAUGUUAAAACAUUAGUUUUAUUUGGAGUUAAGUAGAAAGUAAUGCAGUAAUCUUGUGAGAAAAGUACAGAAAAGUUGCAUCACUGUUCUAUUGACAUUUAUCACCCCACGAGAUAUGAUUUUUUUUACA
Molecule: long non-coding RNA, 633 nt
Organism: Syngnathoides biaculeatus (alligator pipefish)
Lineage: Eukaryota; Metazoa; Chordata; Actinopteri; Syngnathiformes; Syngnathidae
Exons: 3
Source: RefSeq, a predicted model, not a curated record